UACAGAGGUCUCAAGCGUUGUUCGGAUUCAUUGUGCGUACAGGGCGCGUAGGCGGCGGGGUAAGUCGGGUGUGAAAUCUCAGAGCUCAACUCUGAAACUGCACUCGAUACUGCUUUGCUAGAGGACUGGAGAGGAGAUUGGAAUUCCCGGUGUAGCGGUGAAAUGCGCAGAUAUCGGGAGGAACACCGGUGGCGAAGGCGGUUCUCUGGGCCUGACCUGACGCUGAGGAGCGAAAGCGUGGGGAGCGAACAGG
RNAcentral lists this ribosomal RNA (253 nucleotides) under uncultured bacterium. RNAcentral's name for it is "partial 16S ribosomal RNA". It matches the Rfam family "Bacterial small subunit ribosomal RNA", at positions 524 to 776 of the family's 1533-position model. The record is from RNAcentral.